ACACUCCUACGGGAGGCAGCAGUGGGGAAUCUUGCGCAAUGGGCGAAAGCCUGACGCAGCCAUGCCGCGUGAAUGAUGAAGGUCUUAGGAUUGUAAAAUUCUUUCACCGGGGACGAUAAUGACGGUACCCGGAGAAGAAGCCCCGGCUAACUUCGUGCCAGCAGCCGCGGUAAUACGAAGGGGGCUAGCGUUGCUCGGAAUUACUGGGCGUAAAGGGAGCGUAGGCGGACAUUUAAGUCAGGGGUGAAAUCCCGGGGCUCAACCUCGGAAUUGCCUUUGAUACUGGGUGUCUUGAGUAUGAGAGAGGUGUGUGGAACUCCGAGUGUAGAGGUGAAAUUCGUAGAUAUUCGGAAGAACACCAGUGGCGAAGGCGACACACUGGCUCAUUACUGACGCUGAGGCUCGAAAGCGUGGGGAGCAAACAGGAUUAGAAACCCUGGUAGUCCCAUG
RNAcentral lists this ribosomal RNA (450 nucleotides) under uncultured organism. Its description in RNAcentral is "partial 16S ribosomal RNA". It matches the Rfam family "Bacterial small subunit ribosomal RNA", at positions 333 to 799 of the family's 1533-position model. The record is from RNAcentral.